RNAcentral lists this long non-coding RNA (372 nucleotides) under Homo sapiens (human). Its description in RNAcentral is "non-protein coding lnc-COPS7A-2:1". The record is from RNAcentral. Lineage: Eukaryota; Metazoa; Chordata; Mammalia; Primates; Hominidae.
UGAGACAGUAAAGGGAGCUAUGUUGUGGUAAAAUUUCUACAUUUAACUUGAAGUGGUAGAAAAAAACUCUGAUUGUGAAAAGUAUGUAUUUUGUAAUCCCCAUAGUAAGGGUUAGUAAACCAUAUUCCACAGGCCAAAUCCAGCCCACUGCCUGUUUUUGUAAAUACAGUUUUGUUGGACUGUAGUUACACCUCAUUCAUUGCAUAUCAUGUAUGGUUGCUUUUGCACUACAGCAUCAGAUUUGGGUGUUGCAACACACAUUGUAUGGCUGACAAAGCUCAUCAUAUUUAUUGUAUCUGGCCCUUUACAGAAAAAGUUUGCCGGCCCAGUGUAGUGACUCUUGCCUAUAAUCCCAGCACUUUGGGAGGCCGA